UACGAAGGGGGCUAGCGUUACUCGGAAUCACUGGGCGUAAAGCGCGUGCAGGCGGCCUAGCAAGUCAGGUGUGAAAGCCCGGGGCUCAACCCCGGAUGUGCACUUGAAACUGCUUGGCUAGAGUCCGGAAGAGGGGUGUGGAAUUCCUAGUGUAGAGGUGAAAUUCGUAGAUAUUAGGAGGAACACCAGUGGCGAAGGCGACACCCUGGUCCGGUACUGACGCUCAGACGCGAAAGCGUCGGUAGCAAACAGG
RNAcentral lists this ribosomal RNA (253 nucleotides) under uncultured bacterium. Its description in RNAcentral is "partial 16S ribosomal RNA". It matches the Rfam family "Bacterial small subunit ribosomal RNA", at positions 524 to 776 of the family's 1533-position model. The record is from RNAcentral.